Molecule: ribosomal RNA, 468 nt
Filed under: uncultured bacterium
Lineage: Bacteria
Description: partial 16S ribosomal RNA
Rfam family: Bacterial small subunit ribosomal RNA
Source: RNAcentral
GAUGAACGCUGGCGGCGUGCUUAACACAUGCAAGUCGAACGGUGAAGGCGGAGCUUGCUCUGCUGGAUCAGUGGCGAACGGGUGAGUAACACGUGAGCAAUCUGCCCCUGACUCUGGGAUAAGCGCUGGAAACGGCGUCUAAUACUGGAUACGAGCUGCGAAGGCAUCUUCAGCAGCUGGAAAGAACUUCGGUCAGGGAUGAGCUCGCGGCCUAUCAGCUUGUUGGUGAGGUAACGGCUCACCAAGGCGUCGACGGGUAGCCGGCCUGAAAGGGUGACCGGCCACACUGGGACUGAGACACGGCCCAGACUCCUACGGGAGGCAGCAGUGGGGAAUAUUGCACAAUGGGCGAAAGCCUGAUGCAGCAACGCCGCGUGAGGGACGACGGCCUUCGGGUUGUAAACCUCUUUUAGCAGGGAAGAAGCGAAAGUGACGGUACCUGCAGAAAAAGCGCCGGCUAACUACGUG